This 253-nucleotide ribosomal RNA is filed under the name uncultured bacterium. RNAcentral's name for it is "partial 16S ribosomal RNA". It matches the Rfam family "Bacterial small subunit ribosomal RNA", at positions 524 to 776 of the family's 1533-position model. The record is from RNAcentral.
UACGAAGGGGGCUAGCGUUGUUCGGAAUUACUGGGCGUAAAGCGUAUGCAGGCGGACUUUUAAGUCGGGGGUGAAAUCCCGAGGCUCAACCUCGGAACUGCCUUCGAUACUGGAAGUCUUGAGUCCGGGAGAGGUGAGUGGAACUCCGAGUGUAGAGGUGAAAUGCGUAGAUAUCUGGAGGAACACCGGUGGCGAAGGCGGCAUCCUGGACCGGUAUUGACGCUGAGGCGCGAAAGCCAGGGGAGCAAACGGG